RNAcentral lists this ribosomal RNA (253 nucleotides) under uncultured bacterium. Its description in RNAcentral is "partial 16S ribosomal RNA". It matches the Rfam family "Bacterial small subunit ribosomal RNA", at positions 524 to 776 of the family's 1533-position model. The record is from RNAcentral.
UACGUAGGGUCUUAGCGUUAUCCGGAAUUACUGGGUAUAAAGGGUGCGCAGGCGGGUUUGUGCGUCAAGGGUUAAAGACCCCGGCUUAACCGGGGAAGUGCCCUUGAAACGGCAGAUCUUGAGUGUGAGAGAGGAAGGUAGAAUUCCUGGUGUAGUAGUGAAAUACGUAGAUAUCAGGAGGAAUACCAGUGGCGAAGGCGGCCUUCUGGCUCAUUACUGACGCUCAUGCACGAAAGCGUGGGGAGCAAACAGG